Non-coding RNA from Rattus norvegicus (Norway rat), 69 nucleotides. The record is from Rfam. Lineage: Eukaryota; Metazoa; Chordata; Mammalia; Rodentia; Muridae.
GGGGAUUUAGCUCAGUGGUAGAGCGCUUGCCUAGCAAGCACAAGGCCCUGGGUUCCGUCCCCAGCUCUG